Molecule: ribosomal RNA, 1441 nt
Filed under: Protoperidinium concavum
Lineage: Eukaryota; Dinophyceae; Peridiniales; Protoperidiniaceae
Description: partial large subunit ribosomal RNA
Rfam family: Eukaryotic large subunit ribosomal RNA
Source: RNAcentral
ACCCGCUGAAUUUAAGCAUAUAAGUGAGUGGAUGACGAUAAACUAAACAUGUUUUCCUGAGUAAUGGCGAAUGAACAGGAAGUGGCACAUCGUGGAAUGCAGAGCUCCUUGCUCUGGCUUGUAUUCGCAAGAUGUACUAGCAACGGAGGUGCAGGUGUGAGCCUUUUGGAAAGGAGCAUUGACAAGGGUGACAACCCCAUUGUGGUACCUGCAAUCUCCCCGGUGCAUGGUAUACAUUCUCAGAGUCACGCUCUUUGGGCCUGGAGCGCGAAGUGGGUGGUAGGUUUCACCUAAAGCUUCACAAUGGUCUGAGACCGAUAGCAAACAAGUACCAUGAGGGGAAGGUGAACAAGGACUUUGGAAAGAAAGUUAAAUGUGCUUGAACUUGUUGGAAGGAAAGUGGGUGUAACCUGUGCGACCUGGUGAGAUUGUUGUGUGUCAGGGUGGUUGCCUGCUGGCAUGUGCAACAUGUCGCAGUAGGUCCACCAACUUGGUGUGCACAAUGUUUCUCCCAGACCCUUGUCAGCCACCACAGGCAUUCGAAUGGUGAAACAAGCAUGGCAUGGUAAUUUACCCCAGGGUAGGUUGGUGUGCCUGACUGCACCCAUGGACAGCUAUAUGUGGCUACAUGGUUACUGCCAGCCCGUCUUGAAACACGGACCAAGGAGUCUAAUGCACAUGCAAGUUUCUGGGUAUGGACACCUAGUUGCGCAAUGAAAGUAUUUGCCUGGAUGUCUGCACAAGCAGCUGACCAAUCAAUUUAGUGAGGUUUGAGUGUGAGCAUGUGUGCUAGGCCCCGAAAGAUGGCGAACUAUGCUUGUGCAGGGCAAGCCCAGAGGAAACUCUGAUGGAGGCCCGAAGCGAUACUGACGUGCAAAUCGUUCGUCGCACAUGGGUAUAGGGGCGAAAGACUAAUCGAGCCAUCUAGUAGCUGGUUCCCUCCGAAGUUUCCCUCAGGAUAGCUGGAGUUGAACAGUCUCACCAGGUAAAGCGAAUGGUUGGAGGUUUCAGGGGCUCGCUGUUCUUGACCUACUUCCAAACUUUAAAUGGGUAAGCACCAGUAGCUACUUGGGUGAGCUUCUGGAAUGCAUGGCAACUUUAAGUGGGCCAUUUUUGGUAAGCAGAACUGGUGAUGAGGGAUGAACCUAAUGUUGGGCUAAGGCGCUUUAUUGCUCGCUCAUCAGAUACCAUAAAGGGUGUUGGUUCAUUUUAACAGCAGGACAGUGGUCAUGGAAGUCGAAAUCUGCUAAGGAGUGUGUAACAACUCACCUGCCGAAUGGACUAGCCCCGAAAAUGGAUGGCGCUCAAGCGGGUUGCUGAUGCCCAGCCAUCCAUGCGACCGUGUUGCACAGAUGUGUAGGAGGGUGUGGGGGUGUAUUGCGAAGCGUUUGGCGGAAGGCUGGGUGGAAUCGCCUCUGGUGCAGAUCUUGGUGGUAGUAGC